This 253-nucleotide ribosomal RNA is filed under the name uncultured bacterium. RNAcentral's name for it is "partial 16S ribosomal RNA". It matches the Rfam family "Bacterial small subunit ribosomal RNA", at positions 524 to 776 of the family's 1533-position model. The record is from RNAcentral.
GACAGAGGAUGCAAGCGUUAUCCGGAAUGAUUGGGCGUAAAGCGUCUGUAGGUGGCUUUUUAAGUCUGCCGUCAAAUCCCAGGGCUUAACCCUGGACAGGCGGUGGAAACUACCAAGCUGGAGUACGGUAGGGGCAGAGGGAAUUUCCGGUGGAGCGGUGAAAUGCGUAGAUAUCGGAAAGAACAUCAGUGGCGAAGGCGGCUUCCUGGACAUAUACUGACGCUGAGGCGCGAAAGCAUGGGUAGCAAACAGG